GGGGCUAAACCAUGCACCGAAGCUGCGGCAGCGACGCUUAUGCGUUGUUGGGUAGGGGAGCGUUCUGUAAGCCUGCGAAGGUGUGCUGUGAGGCAUGCUGGAGGUAUCAGAAGUGCGAAUGCUGACAUAAGUAACGAUAAAGCGGGUGAAAAGCCCGCUCGCCGGAAGACCAAGGGUUCCUGUCCAACGUUAAUCGGGGCAGGGUGAGUCGACCCCUAAGGCGAGGCCGAAAGGCGUAGUCGAUGGGAAACAGGUUAAUAUUCCUGUACUUGGUGUUACUGCGAAGGGGGGACGGAGAAGGCUAUGUUGGCCGGGCGACGGUUGUCCCGGUUUAAGCGUGUAGGCUGGUUUUCCAGGCAAAUCCGGAAAAUCAAGGCUGAGGCGUGAUGACGAGGCACUACGGUGCUGAAGCAACAAAUGCCCUGCUUCCAGGAAAAGCCUCUAAGCAUCAGGUAACAUCAAAUCGUACCCCAAACCGACACAGGUGGUCAGGUAGAGAAUACCAAGGCGCUUGAGAGAACUCGGGUGAAGGAACUAGGCAAAAUGGUGCCGUAACUUCGGGAGAAGGCACGCUGAUAUGUAGGUGAAGUCCCUCGCGGAUGGAGCUGAAAUCAGUCGAAGAUACCAGCUGGCUGCAACUGUUUAUUAAAAACACAGCACUGUGCAAACACGAAAGUGGACGUAUACGGUGUGACGCCUGCCCGGUGC
This 708-nucleotide ribosomal RNA is filed under the name Escherichia coli. Its description in RNAcentral is "partial 23S ribosomal RNA". It matches the Rfam family "Bacterial large subunit ribosomal RNA", at positions 1177 to 1869 of the family's 2925-position model. Lineage: Bacteria; Pseudomonadati; Pseudomonadota; Gammaproteobacteria; Enterobacterales; Enterobacteriaceae. The record is from RNAcentral.